This 459-nucleotide ribosomal RNA is filed under the name uncultured bacterium. RNAcentral describes it as "partial 16S ribosomal RNA". It matches the Rfam family "Bacterial small subunit ribosomal RNA", at positions 338 to 795 of the family's 1533-position model. The record is from RNAcentral.
CCUACGGGUGGCAGCAGUGAGGAAUAUUGGUCAAUGGUCGGGAGACUGAACCAGCCACGCCGCGUGAGGGAGGAAGGUACAGAGUAUCGUAAACCUCUUUUGUCAGGGAACAAAGACUGGGACGCGUCCCCGGAUGAGUGUACCUGAAGAAAAAGCAUCGGCUAACUCCGUGCCAGCAGCCGCGGUAAUACGAAGGAUGCGAGCGUUAUCCGGAUUUAUUGGGUUAAACGGGUGCGCAGGCGGUCUGUAAGGUCAGCGGUCAAAGCCCGGGGCACAACCCCGGCCCGCCGUUGAAACUGGCAGUCUCGAGUUGGAGAGAAGUAUGCGGAAUGCGCGGGGUAGCGGUGAAAUGCAUAGAGAUCGCGCAGAACUCCGAUUGCGAAGGCAGCAUGCCGGCUCCACACUGACGCUGAGGCACGAAAGCGUGGGUAUCGAACAGGAUUAGAUACCCGUGUAGUC